Molecule: ribosomal RNA, 174 nt
Filed under: Clostridioides difficile
Lineage: Bacteria; Bacillati; Bacillota; Clostridia; Peptostreptococcales; Peptostreptococcaceae
Description: partial 23S ribosomal RNA
Rfam family: Bacterial large subunit ribosomal RNA
Source: RNAcentral
UGGUCAAGUUAUUAAGGGUGCAGGGCGGAUGCCUUGGCACUAGGAGCCGAUGAAGGACGUGAUAAGCUGCGAUAAGCUUCGGGGAGUUGCACGUAAACUUUGAUCCGAAGAUUUCCGAAUGAGGAAACUCACUUAGAGUAAUGUCUAAGUAUCAUUAAGUGAAUACAUAGCUUA